RNAcentral lists this ribosomal RNA (1433 nucleotides) under uncultured bacterium. RNAcentral's name for it is "16S ribosomal RNA". It matches the Rfam family "Bacterial small subunit ribosomal RNA". The record is from RNAcentral.
AACGCAUGCAAGUCGAGGGGCAGCAUGGUCUUUUCUUGCUAAGGCCGAUGGCGACCGGCGCACGGGUGAGUAACACGUAUCCAACCUGCCGUCUACUCUUGGACAGCCUUCUGAAAGGAAGAUUAAUACAAGAUGGCAUCAUGAGUCCGCAUGUUCACAUGAUUAAAGGUAUUCCGGUAGACGAUGGGGAUGCGUUCCAUUAGAUAGUAGGCGGGGUAACGGCCCACCUAGUCUUCGAUGGAUAGGGGUUCUGAGAGGAAGGUCCCCCACAUUGGAACUGAGACACGGUCCAAACUCCUACGGGAGGCAGCAGUGAGGAAUAUUGGUCAAUGGGCGAGAGCCUGAACCAGCCAAGUAGCGUGAAGGAUGACUGCCCUAUGGGUUGUAAACUUCUUUUAUAAAGGAAUAAAGUCGGGUAUGGAUACCCGUUUGCAUGUACUUUAUGAAUAAGGAUCGGCUAACUCCGUGCCAGCAGCCGCGGUAAUACGGAGGAUCCGAGCGUUAUCCGGAUUUAUUGGGUUUAAAGGGAGCGUAGAUGGAUGUUUAAGUCAGUUGUGAAAGUUUGCGGCUCAACCGUAAAAUUGCAGUUGAUACUGGAUAUCUUGAGUGCAGUUGAGGCAGGCGGAAUUCGUGGUGUAGCGGUGAAAUGCUUAGAUAUCACGAAGAACUCCGAUUGCGAAGGCAGCCUGCUAAGCUGCAACUGACAUUGAGGCUCGAAAGUGUGGGUAUCAAACAGGAUUAGAUACCCUGGUAGUCCACACGGUAAACGAUGAAUACUCGCUGUUUGCGAUAUACUGCAAGCGGCCAAGCGAAAGCGUUAAGUAUUCCACCUGGGGAGUACGCCGGCAACGGUGAAACUCAAAGGAAUUGACGGGGGCCCGCACAAGCGGAGGAACAUGUGGUUUAAUUCGAUGAUACGCGAGGAACCUUACCCGGGCUUAAAUUGCAGAUGAAUUACGGUGAAAGCCGUAAGCCGCAAGGCAUCUGUGAAGGUGCUGCAUGGUUGUCGUCAGCUCGUGCCGUGAGGUGUCGGCUUAAGUGCCAUAACGAGCGCAACCCUUGUUGUCAGUUACUAACAGGUUCCGCUGAGGACUCUGACAAGACUGCCAUCGUAAGAUGUGAGGAAGGUGGGGAUGACGUCAAAUCAGCACGGCCCUUACGUCCGGGGCUACACACGUGUUACAAUGGGGGGUACAGAGGGCCGCUACCACGCGAGUGGAUGCCAAUCCCCAAAACCUCUCUCAGUUCGGACUGGAGUCUGCAACCCGACUCCACGAAGCUGGAUUCGCUAGUAAUCGCGCAUCAGCCACGGCGCGGUGAAUACGUUCCCGGGCCUUGUACACACCGCCCGUCAAGCCAUGGGAGCCGGGGGUACCUGAAGUGCGUAACCGCGAGGAGCGCCCUAGGGUAAAACUGGUGACUGGGGCUAAGUC